This 879-nucleotide ribosomal RNA is filed under the name Ramularia osterici. RNAcentral describes it as "eukaryotic LSU rRNA". It matches the Rfam family "Eukaryotic large subunit ribosomal RNA", at positions 33 to 943 of the family's 3401-position model. Lineage: Eukaryota; Fungi; Ascomycota; Dothideomycetes; Mycosphaerellales; Mycosphaerellaceae. The record is from RNAcentral.
CUUAAGCAUAUCAAUAAGCGGAGGAAAAGAAACCAACAGGGAUUGCCCUAGUAACGGCGAGUGAAGCGGCAACAGCUCAAAUUUGAAAUCUGGCGCAAGCCCGAGUUGUAAUUUGUAGAGGAUGCUUCUAGGUAGCGACCGGUCUAAGUUCCUUGGAACAGGACGUCAUAGAGGGUGAGAAUCCCGUAUGUGACCGGCCCGCACCUUCUACGUAGCUCCUUCGACGAGUCGAGUUGUUUGGGAAUGCAGCUCUAAAUGGGAGGUAAAUUUCUUCUAAAGCUAAAUACCGGCCAGAGACCGAUAGCGCACAAGUAGAGUGAUCGAAAGAUGAAAAGCACUUUGGAAAGAGAGUUAAAAAGCACGUGAAAUUGUUGAAAGGGAAGCGCUUACAACCAGACUUCUGGGCGGUGUUCCGCCGGUCUUUUGACCGGUCUACUCGCCGUCCCGAGGCCAACAUCAUCUGGGACCGCUGGAUAAGACCUCAGGAAUGUAGCUCCCCUCGGGGAGUGUUAUAGCCUGUGGUGAUGCAGCGCGUCUCGGGUGAGGUCCGCGCUUCGGCAAGGAUGUUGGCGUAAUGGUUGUCAGCGGCCCGUCUUGAAACACGGACCAAGGAGUCUAACAUCUAUGCGAGUGUUCGGGUGUCAAACCCCUACGCGUAAUGAAAGUGAACGGAGGUGGGAAGCGCAAGCUGCACCAUCGACCGAUCCUGAUGUCCUCGGAUGGAUUUGAGUAAGAGCAUAGCUGUUGGGACCCGAAAGAUGGUGAACUAUGCCUGAAUAGGGUGAAGCCAGAGGAAACUCUGGUGGAGGCUCGCAGCGGUUCUGACGUGCAAAUCGAUCGUCAAAUUUGGGUAUAGGGGCGAAAGACUAAUCGAACCAU